UUUGUAUCCUUGAACCAAAUUCAAAAUCCAAGCAGGGAAAUGUUACAGAAUAGGUUUUUAUCAAGAUGCAGAAAGAUUGAAGUUUUCUUGAAGCCGUUUUUUCAUAAACUGUUCACAAGUUCAACAGAGCAGUGCAUUGCUAGAAAUUAGAAAUUAAAUAAUUCGACAUUUGAAACAUUUGUAUGCAGAAAAUUCUACUUAGGAUGUGGGAUGUCAAUAUUGGUGUGGCAGGUGUACGGUAUCAUAAAUAGUUCACCAGCUUUCUCCUGACUAAAGAAUUUUAGGGUG
Molecule: unclassified non-coding RNA, 288 nt
Filed under: Hevea brasiliensis (rubber tree)
Lineage: Eukaryota; Viridiplantae; Streptophyta; Magnoliopsida; Malpighiales; Euphorbiaceae
Source: RNAcentral